UAGGUGAGGCCAGUGAAACACUCAGUCAAAUAUGGACGUGAAGUUGAACUGAAAUAAGGCUCAGGUAGAGGUAAAUUAACUGCCAUACCGAGUCAGCGAAACUUUAAGAACCAAACGGAAGGGACAGGACGGGCUUACCCUGCAGCCAUCAACCUUACCAGCGGUUAACACGAGGCCGAGAAUAUACGGGCAGACUGAUACCCACCCCUUCUCCAUACUGUUGUAUAAGGAGGGAUAGAUGGAGCCCUCAUUUCCUUUAUUAAGAAGGGGGUUUUCAUCAAGCUUUGGGGACUUUCAUACGCUUGAUUUAAAACGAUUCAACUAUGGGGGGAUAAAAGGUUUGCGAAGGCGUUUUUUGUUAAUGAAAUCGAGGUGGCGCGGUAGGUGGACUGUUAAGAGAGAGCGAGAUUCGAUUUAUUAGGAUUCUCAAAUGUACUAAUGAAAAUUCAACUCCUAAGGCAGCCAGGGGCACAGAGGCACAAAAUUGACAAAAAGUGAACAAAAUGUGGCUAUUUUUAUCCAAGUCUUUAUCAUACGCCUUCUUAAGAGCAAUCCCAGAGAAAUCACCAGACACUGUCUCAACGGGUGAAAACUUAGAUCGCAAAAAACUAUCAAAUAACGCCAGGGUUGCCUGUGGGUUACGUGACGUGAGCGUGACACAACCGUGACAUAUAAUUCGUGAUGGACGGAAGACUUGGCACCAUGGGAACUAAUUUCAAUAUGGCGGCGGAUAAUUCAGUUCGAACGCAGUGCGACUGGCACUACCAAACCUUUCGAGGAAAAACACUCUCAAAGUCAUCAUUUGCCUUCAAAAAUGUUCCAUUUUGCUUAGCAAGAACUGAAAGCGAUGGAAAAUGGCUAUGGUAGCGAUAAAGAAGCUAAAAUGGAGACCACUUAAUCUAACUUAGUUUUUCUGGAUCAAUCUCAGAGGAUGAAUGGCAGUAACAUCAAAAAGGAAGUGGGGAAAAGAAAGAGAGGG
Pocillopora damicornis (cauliflower coral) is the source of this 979-nucleotide long non-coding RNA. Lineage: Eukaryota; Metazoa; Cnidaria; Anthozoa; Scleractinia; Pocilloporidae. The record is from RefSeq and is a predicted model, not a curated record.